Molecule: ribosomal RNA, 433 nt
Filed under: uncultured bacterium
Lineage: Bacteria
Description: partial 16S ribosomal RNA
Rfam family: Bacterial small subunit ribosomal RNA
Source: RNAcentral
AACGAACGCUGGCGGCAUGCCUAACACAUGCCAGUCGAACGAGACCUUCGGGUCUAGUGGCGCACGGGUGCGUAACGCGUGGGAACCUGCCUUUAGGUUCGGAAUAACUCAGAGAAAUUUGAGCUAAUACCGGAUGAUGUCUUCGGACCAAAGAUUUAUCGCCUCUAGAUGGGCCCGCGUUGGAUUAGCUAGUUGGUGGGGUAAAGGCCUACCAAGGCGACGAUCCAUAGCUGGUCUGAGAGGAUGAUCAGCCACACUGGGACUGAGACACGGCCCAGACUCCUACGGGAGGCAGCAGUGGGGAAUAUUGGACAAUGGGCGAAAGCCUGAUCCAGCAAUGCCGCGUGAGUGAUGAAGGCCUUAGGGUUGUAAAGCUCUUUUACCCGAGAUGAUAAUGACAGUAUCGGGAGAAUAAGCUCCGGCUAACUCCGUG